CUUUUUUUUGUUUUAAUUUUUUUUUAUUUAAUCUCAAUCUCUAUAAAAAUCAAAGCUCUUGUUGCCCAACAUACACACCGAUGGUAGAUGGGUUCUCAAUCCAAGGUCUAUGAGGACCCUGCAGCUGCUGGUGGGUUUUCUGUGUGGGGCGAUUACUUGCACUUCCACCAUGGAACUAACAUACUUGAUGAGAACCCUUUUUCCUAUAUCUAGCAAACAAAUUUAAACAAGCUAUCAACCAGAUGUUCAUCAUCCGGGUGAGUGGUUUCCUUGCUAUUCUUGUCAAGUGAUCAGUCUUUUGCGAAUUAGUCUGGGCUUCGUUGUCUGUUCGACCUUGUUCAAAAGCAUAUAUAUUUAGGACUAUCAAACCUCCAAUUUAGAUGGGUUUAACACGAACAAGAUCAAGAUGUAAUGAAAACAACCCUGGUUAAUUAGCGUCUUCUAUGAUGGAAUAAUAAGAUCUCAAAAUAUAAUGUAUUAGUUUUGGUCCUUCCUCUAUUGGUAUGCCAUGCAUAUGCACAUGCAUCUUAUGCACCACAUAACCCAUGUAUCUUAUGAGGAAUUAAGUUAUGGAAUAAUGUAAUUACCAUAAGAAGGAAAGGAAAUAGUGAUUAAGGGUUUCAACAUAAAUACAAUCCAAAUAUAUUAGAUUUUCAUAUCUGCAAUGAAAUAUAUAUUUGUCAAUACCAAGUUAUAGGUAGUGGUUCAUAGAAGAGGAAGAAAUACAUGUUUGUUUCUAUAUCUCUGUGAAUUCCUAAUGGAUUUCCUAGAACGAUAGAACUAGCUAGAUGAAAUGAGAUAUAUAUAUAUACUAAGAUUUCCUUCUCAUGAUCUCAUCAAUGUCCGUUAUAUCCUCUGUAAAAGUUUUCUUUUCCAUGAAAGAAGUGAAAAAGAGAAGUUUAUUGCACAAUAAAUUCCUUGUAAAGUAUGUACAAUUAUGAUUCACGAUAUAUAGCCAGAGCCUUACACAUAAAGAACUGAAAAAGUUUAGGUAUUCUUGAUUACAAAGUUCAAUAAAUUAAGUCAUCAACUUUUAGAGUUUGGAAGAAGAAGAAGAUAUCCCUUUAUUCUGAAAUGGCCUGAUUACAUUUUUGUACAUUUUUAUUAUUUUUCUUGUUUGGGUUAAGCUUGUACUGUUCCUUCCCGUGAGGAGUGUUUGACACUUGUGAGGGACCAUAACCUUUUUUACACGAAACCCAUUUAGGGCCAUAACUCUUUUUUCUUUUAUUUAUUGAGAAUGGGCGGCUAGAUGUAUAAGCUUUAUAUACACUUGAAGAUCUAGACAAUAAUUUUUCCUUUAUUCACAGGUCACAGUUAAUGGUUAAAGCUAAAGAAUUGCCUUAAUAUCUAUAUACUAUACUUAAGACCAUGCACUAGACGGAUAGAGGGAAAUCAAAUGUAAUAAAAAUACUAGAUUAAUUAUAACAAUAAUAAUGAACAUUGGUUGAUCAGGUGAUCAGAAUGUGGCUGUUAAGAGUAUAAAUUUGGAAAUCUCCUCUUUUAUUAACUUUUUCUUU
Long non-coding RNA from Hevea brasiliensis (rubber tree), 1517 nucleotides. RefSeq lists it as uncharacterized. The transcript has 2 exons. The record is from RefSeq and is a predicted model, not a curated record. NCBI's taxonomy places the organism in Eukaryota, Viridiplantae, Streptophyta, Magnoliopsida, Malpighiales, Euphorbiaceae.